UGAUGGCAAUGAUGAUUUUUGCACUUGUUGACCUGAUAACGUAAAUAUGAAGGUGUUCAGUCACUACCUCAUCUGAUGCCAUCA
This is a small nucleolar RNA of Saimiri boliviensis boliviensis (Bolivian squirrel monkey), 84 nucleotides long. RefSeq annotates it as small nucleolar RNA SNORD11B. The record is from RefSeq and is a predicted model, not a curated record. NCBI's taxonomy places the organism in Eukaryota, Metazoa, Chordata, Mammalia, Primates, Cebidae.